CUCUCGGUAGCCAAGUUGGUUUAAGGCGCAAGACUGUAAUGUUUCAACAAAGUAAUCUUGAGAUCGGGCGUUCGACUCGCCCCCGGGAGA
Vanderwaltozyma polyspora DSM 70294 is the source of this 90-nucleotide non-coding RNA. The record is from Rfam. Lineage: Eukaryota; Fungi; Ascomycota; Saccharomycetes; Saccharomycetales; Saccharomycetaceae.